CCUACGGGAGGCAGCAGUGAGGAAUAUUGGUCAAUGGACGAGAGUCUGAACCAGCCAAGUAGCGUGAAGGAUGACUGCCCUAUGGGGUGUAAACUUCUUUUAUAGGGGAAUAAAAUGUUCCACGUGUGGGAUUUUGUAUGUACCAUAUGAAUAAGGAUCGGCUAACUCCGUGCCAGCAGCCGCGGUAAGACGGAGGAUCCGAGCGUUAUCCGGCUUUAUUGGGGUUAACGGGAGCGUAGGGGGAUUGUUAAGUCAGGUGUGAAAGUUUGCGGCUCCACCGUAAAAUUGCAGUUGAAACUGGCAGUCUUGCGUACAGUAGAGGUGGGCGGCAUUCGUGGUGUCGCGG
RNAcentral lists this ribosomal RNA (346 nucleotides) under uncultured bacterium. Its description in RNAcentral is "partial 16S ribosomal RNA". It matches the Rfam family "Bacterial small subunit ribosomal RNA", at positions 338 to 681 of the family's 1533-position model. The record is from RNAcentral.